Molecule: long non-coding RNA, 4789 nt
Filed under: Citrus x clementina
Lineage: Eukaryota; Viridiplantae; Streptophyta; Magnoliopsida; Sapindales; Rutaceae
Description: Citrus clementina (C. clementina) long non-coding RNA (CCLE_LNC003081)
Source: RNAcentral
ACCCAGAAAAUCUAAAAAGAAAUUGUUAGCGACCCUUACCAUUUGAGUCACGAAAAGCUUAUAAAUAGACCCACAUCUCCCAUGCUAUGAUCAUCAGCAACACCAAAAACACUUUCUUGAAGUAGUGUCUAUAAAUUUCUCUUCUGCUAUCACUUUUUACUCUAUUAAUUAAUCAUGUCUGAGGAAAAGCACCACCACCACGGCCUCUUCCACCACCACAAGGAGCAUGAGAAGCCUGAGGGUGCCACCGGUUACUCCGACUCGACCACCGGAUACUCUGAUCAGUCAGCCACUGCUUACUCUGAGACUACAGGUUAUCCGGGAGACCGGUGCCGGCCAUCGGAGACGGAGAGCGGUGACUAUGGCAGGAAAGAGGAGGAGGUUGAUUACAAGAAGGAGGAGAAGCACCACAAGCAUCUCGAGCACCUCGGAGAGCUCGGAACUGCUGGAGCUGGUGCUUUUGCCCUGGUAAAGUGAUUCUUCAUCAAGUGCUUUUUUUAUUUUGUGAUAGUGUAUAGUUUCAUUUCUCAUGCAUACAUAUACAAAGUACCACGCAUGUAACUAGGCUUUUUGCAUGGAUUGGAGGAAAAAAAAAGAAAGAAUCCCAUUAUUUUCUUUAAUUUUAUCUCUAUGUUGACACUCAAUUAUUUAUUUAUUUUUGGGGGGUGGGGGGGUGUUGAUACGAUAUUGUAAAUGGAUCAGCUUGAGAAGCACAAGGCAGAAAAGGACCCAGAGCAUGCACACAGGCACAAGAUAGAGGAGGAGAUAGCCGCGGCAGCAGCCGUUGGAUCGGGAGGAUUUGCGUUCCACGAGCACCAUGAGAAGAAAGAAGCCAAGGAAGAAGACGAGGAAGCUCAUGGAAAGAAGCACCACCAUCUCUUUUAAUUAAUUAUGUGAUGCGUGCGCUACCUUUUUUAGUUUAUUAUAAUUAUGUGUUAAUAUUUUCUGUAUUUUAUUUGUUUUUGUUCGUUAAUUAUCAUUGAGCACAGAGGUAGCUAUCUGCAGCCCUAAAUAAUACCCUUGUGUGUUUGUGUGUAUGGGUGAGUCUGGUGACUUUUGUAAACAGACCGGAGUUAUCUGGUUAUGUUGUCAUCUUCCAUUUAUAUAUAUGUUGAUAAUAAAAAUUAGUUUUAAUUGUGUGUUUAUUAUUUAUAAGAUUUGACCUCAUGAUCUGAUGUUUUCUCCAAUCUCAGCUGUUGCUUUAGAAGUUGGGAUCAUCUGUUAAUUAUUAUUGUUUUUUAAAUGAAGUGAGCUGACAACCAUUGGGCUAAAGACUAAUAAUUCAACAUCAUAAAUAAACAACUCUCUUUGCCGUGAUGUAAUUUUAUUUGCCAAUGGGAUAAAGUAAAUUUAUGUGAAAUAACAUUUAUUCUAUGGACCCCCAGGCCAACUUUAGGGGAACAUUUUCCUAGAAUUGGCCUGGGGAGCAGCUGCGUGGUGGCAGCGCAGCUGCCCCAAACGGAUUUAUAUAUUUAUUAAAUUUGUUAAAGGAAUAUAUAAAGUUUAAAUUAACCUACAACUUUUCUUAAGAUUCAAAUCCUUGGGGCUUUAUCAAAUAAGAUUUGAUAUUAUAUCUGAAAAUAUAAUUGUGAAACCAAUGAUUAUAAGUUGAACUUAAUGUACAACUAAUCUUGAUAUUACCAAGUUGAUUUAUGGACUUUUGCUCGAGAAUGUUGUAUGACUCGUGACAAGUUGGACUGAAAAGCCCAUCGAGUAAUGGAAUGUUAGGUGUAUUUUCUCAAGAAGCAGCACUAAAUAAUCACCCGCUGACAGUCAAAUAAAGCUCACCAAUUAAUUGGACAACAACAAUUAUCUACAUCCAUUAAAGUGAAGCAAAGUAAAGAAAGGUCUAUGCAGGCUUCACAAGCACAAAUUAAUCAAGUAGUUGCACAAGCACAACCUGAACAAGCACCAGGUAAUAUUUAACCUCUAUGUUAAUUCCUUAUUUUUAUGUCCAUGAAUAAUAACUAAAUUAAUACUUUUUAGGAAUAUAUGGACCUCAAAGUACAAUUGGACAACAACAACAACCUGCAUAUAUUAUAGCGAGGCAAAGGAGGGCUAGACCAUUGCAUGAUCAAGGAACUAGUAACAACAACAAUAAUGGAGUUAUUAAUACCGAGCCUGUUCUAAAAAAAGUCAGAAAAGAGAGCAAAGAUAGGUUGAAUGCAACUCAACCAUCAGCUUCUAUGCCUGAUGGCUUUGGUGGUUGCAUGUAGUAUCUUGUAAAAUAUGAUAUCUAAUUAGUUUUGUUAACUAUUGUAGCAGGGGGUAAAGGUGGCUUCAUUCAUUGGGUAUGUGGCAAUAAAAUUCAUACCCAUUUGAAUAUUGUGUUUACUUUUGGUUAACUAUGAUGGAAUCUUCUUAUAUUAUGAUUACAUUUAGCUUAUAUGGCAUUGAUGCGUCAAACGAUUACUCCCUGAUUUUGAUUAUAACGAAGAUAUAUAAUUUUUUUUUUUUGGCAAUGCCGUAAGAUUUUGUUGGAUUGUUUUUGUAAGAAAUGAUUGGGUAUUUAUUUUUUUUGCAAGAUUAUAAUUGCGGAGACAUAAAUGGUUGAAAGGAUAGAAUAUUCGGGAAUGUUUGUGCAAGGAAUGUGGUUUGACAGAAGUGACGCAAAUUAGGCUUAUUGCAUUUGUGUUUUACGGGUAUGUAUAGCUUGAUUCAUGAAAUUAGAAAAUAAACGUUAGUCUUCCUAUUAAUAUUCAUUUUUUCAAUCCAUAUAUUAAUGGCAAUUAAGUCUUUUUGACUCUAAAAGUAAGGGCACUUUUAAAAUUUCACUUUGUUAUAUAUCAAUUAAAACAUGUGGGUAAUUGUGUGAUUUUAUCCACUAGAGCUAAGAAAAUUGGCGCCAAUCUCCUGUCAUUUGGAUACUAGGGGCAAAUAGGUAAAAGUAUUUAAAAAUUGAGCAACUUCUGUUAUUGUUAUAACAGCAGGGAGGAAAUUGGUCAUUAUGAAAAUAGUAAAGGAAGAAUUGGUAUAUAAUGAUUUUAAUAAGGGGGAAAUUAGCAAUCUCCCUUAUAACCACCGAAACAUCAACUGCCAUUGGAUUGGGACCCAUUUAACCACCGGCCAUAAAACAGUUUGGACGAAACUUAAUCCUGAAAAACUUAUGGACCUCCCUUUUCACUUGUUUUUAAAAAAAAAUUAAAGAAAAAUUACGUGUCAAAAAGGAAAAAAAAUUACACUGACGAAUCCCUUAUUGUCAUGCCAAAUUAUCACACUUAAAGUAAAGAAUUUAAGCAAAAGUCUUAAACCAUUAUAAAUGUGAACGUAUGGCUGAUUUAUGAUAUGAUGGGUCCAUCUAUUAAAUAUCUUGUUUUCUUUAGUGUGGAUGUUUUUAUUUUAUUUUAUAAAAGUAUGAAUUUAAUAUUUUAUAAUAUUAUAAAAACUAUAUAAUAUUAUAAAAUAUUUUAUAAAGUGCAAAGUUCAACACUUGAGAAAGAUUUCUUAAGGUUAAAGUUUAUCAUUACAAAGAGUGAAAAAAAAGAAGAAGAGGAAAAUAUCCAAUUGUAACUACAACCGUCAUGUUUUUACAUUGCAUUUCUUACAAUUUUCCAUUAAAUAUUUCUCAAAUUCUUUAGAGAAUUAAAAUAGAAUUGUUAUAAAAUUAAAUUCUCUCAUGAUCUAAAUUUGUCUCGUGUAAAAUUUAGUUGGAAAUUAGUGGUUAAUUAAAAAAAGUUAAAUCAAAAUCAUACAUAGCAUUAAAAAAAAAACAUAAAACACAAGACAUUUAAAAAUUCGAGAGAGUUCAUGUUAAGAAAGGGUCUUAAUUCAAUAAUGCAUAUGAUAUGAAAUGCAAAGUUUGGUGGGUCUAUUAAAACUAUAAUUAUUUUUAUCCAUUAAACUGCUAUUUCCUAUUUUAUGGAUAAUUCUUUUGAGCCACUGUUGAAGUAUUUGCAAUUUGUGACUAAAUUGUCUGAGCAUGAAGUCUCGUUGGUGAAACCAACCAUGUCGACAUAUAACGAAAAUAAAUCAAAAUCCGGAAACAAUAUUAAUGUAACAAUGAACCAACAGUAGACCAAUCGCAUUAUUAUUAUUAUUUGAGUACGUAAAUUGAUUUUUUUAGAGUAAAAAGAAAAAAAAGAUUUUUUUCUCCGUGAAUUUGACUUUUUCUUGUGGUACCGAACCAACCAUAGAGUUAUUACCUCUAAAAUUUUCUGAAGGUUAAGAAUUUUUUUUUUAAAACAAUUAAAAACAUCCCCAGAAAGAGACUCGAGUACACGUGUCAAAAAAUUGAAGUUUCUAACGGAGUUAAGAAAUAAGAAUAUGUUAAAAUAAGCAAAUUAAUGCAUACAUGUCAAAAAAUCUUCCAAAUAUUAAUUAAGUAAAUUCAGAUUAGUACAAUUUUAUUGAUUAGUUGGAUGUCACCCAGAAAAUCUAAAAAGAAAUUGUUAGCGACCCUUACCAUUUGAGUCACGAAAAGCUUAUAAAUAGACCCACAUCUCCCAUGCUAUGAUCAUCAGCAACACCAAAAACACUUUCUUGAAGUAGUGUCUAUAAAUUUCUCUUCUGCUAUCACUUUUUACUCUAUUAAUUAAUCAUGUCUGAGGAAAAGCACCACCACCACGGCCUCUUCCACCACCACAAGGAGCAUGAGAAGCCUGAGGGUGCCACCGGUUACUCCGACUCGACCACCGGAUACUCUGAUCAGUCAGCCACUGCUUACUCUGAGACUACAGGUUAUCCGGGAGACCGGUGCCGGCCAUCGGAGACGGAGAGCGGUGACUAUGGCAGGAAAGAGGAGGAGGUUGAUUACAAGAAGGAGGAGAAGCACCACAAGCAUCUUGAGCAC